RNAcentral lists this ribosomal RNA (465 nucleotides) under uncultured bacterium. RNAcentral's name for it is "partial 16S ribosomal RNA". It matches the Rfam family "Bacterial small subunit ribosomal RNA", at positions 28 to 507 of the family's 1533-position model. The record is from RNAcentral.
GACGAACGCUGGCGGCGUGCUUAACACGUGCAAGUCGUACGGUAAGGCCCUUUCGGGGGUACACGAGUGGCGAACGGGUGAGUAACACGUGAGUAACCUGCCCACAACUUUGGGAUAACGCUAGGAAACUGGUGCUAAUACUGGAUAUGUGCUCCUGCUGCAUGGUGGGGGUUGGAAAGCUCCGGCGGUUGUGGAUGGACUCGCGGCCUAUCAGCUUGUUGGUGGGGUAGUGGCCUACCAAGGCGGCGACGGGUAGCCGGCCUGAGAGGGUGACCGGCCACAUUGGGACUGAGAUACGGCCCAGACUCCUACGGGAGGCAGCAAUGGGGAAUAUUGCACAAUGGGCGCAAGCCUGAUGCAGCAACGCCGCGUGCGGGAUGACGGCCUUCGGGUUGUAAACCGCUUUCAGCAGGGACGAAGCUUUUUGUGACGGUACCUGCAGAAGAAGCACCGGCUAACUACGUG